RNAcentral lists this long non-coding RNA (283 nucleotides) under Linum usitatissimum (flax). RNAcentral describes it as "long non-coding RNA (LUSI_LNC004399)". The record is from RNAcentral. Lineage: Eukaryota; Viridiplantae; Streptophyta; Magnoliopsida; Malpighiales; Linaceae.
AAUUUUGUGGGUGAUUUCAAAUCACCUAAAAGAGGUAGAGAUCUCGGAGGAGAAAAGAGAUGGAAAUUUAACCAACAUUCUCUCUUUUUUUUUUUUGUAAUUGAUAUGGCUAUAAAUAAACUCGAGGUAUUUUCGUAUUUUUAUUUUUUAUUCUUGUUUUAUUUUUCUCUCUCUAUAAUAAUUGCAUUCAAAAUUACCUACAAAUCACCAAUCCAAACGUUCUGUUUUGAAAAUAGCAAGUUUUAUUUAAAUUUCUUAUAUUUCAAAUCUUUAGCUAUUUUAA